Molecule: long non-coding RNA, 710 nt
Organism: Gorilla gorilla gorilla (western lowland gorilla)
Lineage: Eukaryota; Metazoa; Chordata; Mammalia; Primates; Hominidae
Exons: 2
Source: RefSeq, a predicted model, not a curated record
GUCUCCGCCGCACCUUCCCCGACCGCUUGGCCAGGACCGCGGGGCGCGGGGCGCCGGACCUCGUGGAACCGCCGCGGCCUGGAUCGGCGGCGAGGAGCCAGCUAGCGCCCCCUGGCGCCUCCGCCGAGCCGUCACAAUGCCGUCGCCCAGUCCCCCAUCCCGCCGGAUUCCAGACCUGAGGCUGGGGAGGCUGGUGUCCGCGCACCCCCGAGACCUCGCCGGACUACGCCAAGCCUCUUAGAGGACGUAGGAGCUCCUGAAGGUCUCCCACGCUCCAACCCACGGCCUCCGCUCGUCCUGCCCCCCCGCCCCGAGUGCUCCAGUCGGCGGUGCUGACCUCGCAGCUCUUCCGCCCCAUAAGCGCGGCUCUGCGCGCUGUCCAACAGCGCCCUCUGGCGGGCGCUCCGGGGAGAUGCAGGUCAGGAAAGAGAAUGAGGGACAGAGUGAAAUCUCACCUCCUCUUCCACCUAAGACUGACACCUCUGCUAUCUUGGCCUCCUUCAGGAAGGCUUUCUGGAGACUGAAGCGGACGGGGCAGAUUUGGGACCCUACCCUCGAUUCUUGCAGCCUGGCAAGAACCCUGCCUUCAUGGCAGGGCCAGUCCAUUUGCAGCUUUGCCCUCCCCAUCUCAGUGGCUUUCUUUUCCGCCAGGGUCCCUCUCAUAUCUGCAGGGCCUCAGAAAAUUAAGAAAUAAAAGCCCUUUCUCAUCA